GACGAACGCUGGCGGCGUGCUUAACACAUGCAAGUCGAACGGAAAGGCCCUGCUUUUGUGGGGUGCUCGAGUGGCGAACGGGUGAGUAACACGUGAGUAACCUGCCCUUGACUUUGGGAUAACUUCGGGAAACUGGGGCUAAUACCGGAUAGGAGCUCCUGCUGCACGGUGGGGGUUGGAAAGUUUCGGCGGUUGGGGAUGGACUCGCGGCUUAUCAGCUUGUUGGUGGGGUAGUGGCUUACCAAGGCUUUGACGGGUAGCCGGCCUGGGAGGGUGACCGGGCACAUUGGGACUGGGGUAAGGGCCAGAAUCCUACCGGGGGCAGGAGGGGGGAAUAUUGCACAAUGGGGCGGAGCCUGAGGGAGCAACCCCGCGUGCGGGAAGACGGCCUUUGGGGUGUAAACCGCUUUCGCCUGUGACGAAGCGGGAGUGACGGUAAUGGGUAAAGAAGCACCGGCUAACUACGUG
Molecule: ribosomal RNA, 468 nt
Filed under: uncultured bacterium
Lineage: Bacteria
Description: partial 16S ribosomal RNA
Rfam family: Bacterial small subunit ribosomal RNA
Source: RNAcentral